Molecule: ribosomal RNA, 404 nt
Filed under: uncultured bacterium
Lineage: Bacteria
Description: bacterial SSU rRNA
Rfam family: Bacterial small subunit ribosomal RNA
Source: RNAcentral
UAUUGCACAAUGGGCGCAAGCCUGAUGCAGCCAUGCCGCGUGUGUGAAGAAGGCCUUCGGGUUGUAAAGCACUUUCAGUCAGGAGGAAAGGUUAGUAGUUAAUACCUGCUAGCUGUGACGUUACUGACAGAAGAAGCACCGGCUAACUCCGUGCCAGCAGCCGCGGUAAUACGGAGGGUGCGAGCGUUAAUCGGAAUUACUGGGCGUAAAGCGUACGCAGGCGGUUUGUUAAGCGAGAUGUGAAAGCCCCGGGCUCAACCUGGGAACUGCAUUUCGAACUGGCAAACUAGAGUGUGAUAGAGGGUGGUAGAAUUUCAGGUGUAGCGGUGAAAUGCGUAGAGAUUUGAAGGAAUACCGAUGGCGAAGGCAGUCACCUGGGUCAACACUGACGCUCAUGCACGAAA